GCUUGUAUGAAUGGUUGGACGAGAUAUUAACUGUUUCAUAUUAAAUUUAUUGUAAAAUUUUAUUUUUUAGUCAAAAAGCUAAAAUAAAUUUAAAAGACGAGAAGACCCUAUAAAUCUUUAUAUUUAUUGUAUUAUAAUUUUUUAGAAUUUUUUUAUUGUAAUAUAAAUGAAAUAUUUUAUUGGGGUGAUAUUAAAAUUUAAUAAACUUUUAAUUUUAAAAUUCAUUAAUUAAUGAUUAAUUGAUCCGUUUUUAACGAUUAAAAAAUUAAGUUACUUUAGGGAUAACAGCGU
This 291-nucleotide ribosomal RNA is filed under the name Muscina stabulans. RNAcentral describes it as "partial 16S ribosomal RNA". Lineage: Eukaryota; Metazoa; Arthropoda; Insecta; Diptera; Muscidae. The record is from RNAcentral.